UUUCCUCCUAUCUCAUUUUAUGUCCUCUAUAUCUAACCUUAUCCACACCCCACCAUCUCAAAAUACAAAACACAGACAAAUCAAAAUCAUAAAACCCUGCCUGCCUUCCCCUUCUCUCUCGAUGUAUAUAUAUCAACACACAGAUCCCCUCAACUCACUGAAGAACCGGUGAUUACCGGUCGACUGUUCACGACAACGGAACUAGAGCCGCCGCUCGCGGCGGCGCACAACGACGGAACGAGAGAGACAGAUCGAAGAGAGAGAGAGAAGCACGGAGAGAGAGAGAGGGGAGACGGAGAGGAAUGACGGAGCAGGAGCGGCUCCGCCGCUAACGGCGAUGGCGGCGGCGUAUGGCGGCAGUGAACGUCGGCGACAUUAUUUUUCCGGUAAACCCUUCACUCCCAACACUUUUUAUUUCUUUAAAAAAAAAUCUCCCAAAGUUCUGUGGAUCAUCACCAUGAGAUUUGAUUUUUUUUUUCUCUGAUGUUGAUGAUGAUGAUGGAGAGGGGAUGGGGGUGCGACGUGGAAGUCGCGACAGACACAGGUCCAUCGUACGGCGACGACCGGCCGUAGUGGUGCCGGUGACGAUGAUGGUAAUGGCGGCAGUAGUACUGGUGGUUUCGGUUCAAGUUGGUUCGGCUCGAGAUGGUCAGACCUUGUCAAAGAAAAAUUUGGUUCAAGUCGGGUUUCGUUUCGGUCAACAAACAAACAACUGGUGGUUGGUUCAGAUUACGACUCGGAUCAGUUUUGGGUGGUUCGGGUUCUCGGCGCGGUCAAAGUCAGUCAACGAAAGUCAACUGGUCAAACCCCAGUCAACGGCAGUCAACUGCCGGUCAACAGGUCAAACGUGGUCAACACGAAGGACCCGGAAUGUCACAGUUAUACGCUAGCGAUUCACGUUCUUGGAACGGCACUACGGAAACACGCUAGGCUAGCUUUGCACCGGAAUGUCAAGGUUGCAUUUUUCAAAACUACGGAACGGUUGGAAUAGGAGAACCCAUGGGAUUUCGAGCACUUAGCGGGCGUUCAUUGUUUAGAAGUCUUAGCUUAUUUGCUUCCGCUGUGCAAUGAAGAUACCGGUCCAGUCACGCCAGCUCUGAUAUUUCGGGGUGUGACAGAUUGGUAUCAGAGCUAUAGGUUUCAGCGAAUUAGGUUCUGUAGAGAUACCUAGGCUUUAACCUUACUCUCAUCUGGGGACUUAGAUAUCAAGAAUUGAACACAUACAGAACGCCUAAGACUCGAAUAUGGGUUUCCAACCGGUGCCGAAAACAAUGAGUCAACAUUUUUGGUUUUAAACAUACACAAGUGUUGUGUUGGAUACACGGUACAUGAACCGAUUACAUAUAGUAAGCAAAACUUUGAGAGUUUUGGAUAACAUGCAUUUAGGACCUUUGGAAAACUUACGUCGAAACUCAUUAAAGAUCCUCACUUAGAAACCGUGACUAACAACUCAGGCAAACGCUAUUAUCUAUUUGUCUAUGCUAUUUUAAUUACCCGAGCAGGUAAUCUACGUGGAACGAAACGCUAGGGCGCGAAUACACGUGAAACUUAAACUAUACGUCAACGGACGUUGAAAUACAUCACACACAACUUUCGAGGCAAGGCCUUUGGA
Molecule: RNA transcript, 1612 nt
Organism: Helianthus annuus (common sunflower)
Lineage: Eukaryota; Viridiplantae; Streptophyta; Magnoliopsida; Asterales; Asteraceae
Exons: 3
Source: RefSeq, a predicted model, not a curated record